This 425-nucleotide ribosomal RNA is filed under the name uncultured bacterium. Its description in RNAcentral is "partial 16S ribosomal RNA". It matches the Rfam family "Bacterial small subunit ribosomal RNA", at positions 354 to 796 of the family's 1533-position model. The record is from RNAcentral.
GUGGGGAAUCUUGCGCAAUGGGCGAAAGCCUGACGCAGCCAUGCCGCGUGAAUGAUGAAGGUCUUAGGAUUGUAAAAUUCUUUCACCGGGGACGAUAAUGACGGUACCCGGAGAAGAAGCUCCGGCUAACUUCGUGCCAGCAGCCGCGGUAAUACGAAGGGGGCUAGCGUUGCUCGGAAUUACUGGGCGUAAAGGGCGCGUAGGCGGACAGCUUAGUCAGAGGUGAAAGCACAGGGCUCAACCUUGGCAUUGCCUUUGAUACUGGCGGUGUUGAGUUUGGGAGGGGUGAGUGGAACUCCGAGUGUAGAGGAGAAAUUCGGAGAUAUUCGGAAGAACACCAGUGGCGAAGACGACUCACUGGCCGAAUACUGACGCUGAGGCGCGAAAGCGUGGGGAGCAAACAGGAUUAGAUACCCCGGUAGUCC